GACCAGACUCCUACGGGAGGCAGCAGUGGAGAAUAUUGCACAAUGGGGGGAACCCUGAUGCAGCAACGCCGCGUGAGUGAAGAAGUAUUUCGGUAUGUAAAGCUCUAUCAGCAGGGAAGAAAAUGACGGUACCUGACUAAGAAGCUCCGGCUAAAUACGUGCCAGCAGCCGCGGUAAUACGUAUGGAGCAAGCGUUAUCCGGAUUUACUGGGUGUAAAGGGAGCGCAGGCGGUACGGCAAGUCCGAUGUGAAAUGCCGGGGCUCAACCCCGGGGCUGCAUUGGAAACUGGCAGGCUGGAGUGCCGGAGAGGCAGGCGGAAUUCCUAGUGUAGCGGUGAAAUGCGUAGAUAUUAGGAGGAACACCAGUGGCGAAGGCGGCCUGCUGGACGGUGACUGACGCUGAGGCUCGAAAGCGUGGGGAGCAAACAGGAUUAGAUACCCCCGUA
RNAcentral lists this ribosomal RNA (446 nucleotides) under uncultured bacterium. RNAcentral's name for it is "bacterial SSU rRNA". It matches the Rfam family "Bacterial small subunit ribosomal RNA", at positions 329 to 792 of the family's 1533-position model. The record is from RNAcentral.